Bos taurus (domestic cattle) is the source of this 2251-nucleotide long non-coding RNA. The record is from Ensembl. NCBI's taxonomy places the organism in Eukaryota, Metazoa, Chordata, Mammalia, Artiodactyla, Bovidae.
AGUCAGGCAGGGCCAGCGCUGUGGCAGGCGGAGCGACGACCCUGGGUCCCUCACCCACGGCUCCCUGUGCUGCGGGCUGGUUGUUAGGGGUGGCCAGGGGCCCGCACGGGCCCUCACUGCCUCCACUCAGCAGCUGUCCUCAGCCGCCCUCUCCUGGCUCCACCCCCCUCCCCCCACCGUCAUCUCAUCAUCCCUGCCUGCUGGGGGUGAAGAGAGCAUCUGGGGAGCCAUCCCCACUCUCUCAUCCCGCUCUGGGCGGGGUGCCCUGGGGGUGGGCAGCCUGCAUGUUUCCAGGGGAGAUUUGGGGGUCAGGAAGAGAGCCGGGUAUCACCAGCCUGGCCUUCUGGCUGUUUCAAGCCUUGCAGGGGUCGGGGGGGCUAUCAAAUAGGACACAGCCCCGUCGGCCAGGCCCUGUGAGGAUCCCCGGAGCUUCACCAUAACCUACAAGUGUAGUAGGUGGCACACUCAUCCCUGUCUCACGAGGAGGUCACGGAGCUACAAAUGGAUGGAGCUUUUGCUCAAGGUCACCCAGCUGCUAAGUGUCAAGGCAGCAACUGGGUCACGCCCUCCAGCCUUUACCAGUGGACAGACAGUGAGUGCUUAAGAAUGCGACGACCCACUAAUGAACGAGCACUGGGGGGGACCAACAGGGCUGCGGAGCAGGGAUGCUGUAUGGGACCCACCUGCCGUGGACACCACAGCACGCUCUCCCAGAGGCUCACUCCGCAGCUAGGACGUAGCCCUCCUUUUCCCAAGCUGUCAUCCGCGUGUGUCUCCAGCAGCAUCCAAGCCCAGCAGAGCUUCCAGGAGUGGCCUUGACAGAGAAAUAGCUGUGUGACUCUGGGCAAGUCACUUUACCUUUCUGGGCCUCACCUCACUCCAGUACUCUUGCCUGGAAAAUCCCAUGGACGGAGGAGCCUGGAAGGCUGCAGUCCAUGGGGUCGAUGAGGGUCGGACACGACUGAGCGACUUCACUUUCACUUUCACUAACACAGGAUUAACAGAAGAAGCCAGUCUGCAGGUGUGGCGAGGACUAAUGCAGAGCUCCUGGCUCCUGGCCCUAGCAGAACGCCCCUUUCCUGCCCAGGCCCUGGAUUUAGGACACCCACUGUGGGCCAGGCCUUGGGGGGUUCGGGGGUACGGCGACAGCUCCCGGAGGCCCUCAUCAUCUGGGGUCCAGUGCCAGAGAGCCAUAGGAAGCAAAUGCCAGCUUGAGCCUGCUCGGCCCAUGGCAUCCUCCUCACCCCACCCCCUCUCCCUGACCUCACAAGGCCUGCCCCUGCACCCCAGCAGCCCCCCUCCUCUCCCAGGAAGGCUCCAGAGCCCCUCUUCCAAACCCGAGGCUCCUGCCUAGACGGACUCUCUCUGUUCUGCAUCCUGGGGUGCUGUGCCCGCAGCCACCUCCUGUCCCAGCCCUCAGGUUCUGCAUCUCACAGAUGCUCCAGGUGGUCCUGAUAGUAGUCCUGGGCCAGCAGAUGAAGGAUUUCAAGCUCACAGGCCCAGCCACUCAUCUUCCAAGUGGAGCCAGGGGUCAUUCUUUCUGUUUGCACCAUCACAGAGAAUCUCCCUCCAGGCUGUGGGCUGACCCUGUUUUACCUGGAGCGGGGGAGAGUGAGGGGCAGACGCUGGGAGUUUGGGGGAUUUGCCCAGGGGCCCAGAGCUUGGAAAGUGCAGCACUUGGGUCAGACCGCUUCUCGCUCAGGGGCUCUCAGUGGGACCUUUCGGGUUCCAGCUCUCCUGUGCCCCUCCUCGGAUCCCCAGCUCCUUGCGGCUCUAUCUGGUGUCCCUUGUUCCUCCCUAAUCAGGGCCAGGCCUCCUUCCUCACUCACUCCGUUGUGCCCUGAGGCCGGAAGUGGGUUUACUGAAGCGCUAAGUGGGGAGCAGGCAAGGCAGGCCCAGAGCCUUCCCCAGAGUCACCCCAACCCCCACACUGUAAGGCACAGCCCUUCUGGUCCUCACUGCCUGCUCUUCAAGCCAACAGUAAGGAUGUCCCGUGCCCUGCCCCACUCUGACCACCCUGGUUCUGCCUUUGCCACAUACUCUCUGUGUGCCUUGGGCAAGUCCCUGCUCAUCGCUAGACCUCAGCUUCCCUACCUAUAGGCGUGGAGAGGGGAUCCAGGUCAGGCCUCCGUGUUGAUGAGCAUCUCCACCUUCACACCUGGCCAGUCCCUGUGCCUGAGACCCACAGAACCCAGCCCAGCCCAAGCUGGCAGGAGAGGAGCCUGCCCUCCUCCCCGGGACACUGCCACCA